RNAcentral lists this ribosomal RNA (376 nucleotides) under uncultured bacterium. RNAcentral's name for it is "bacterial SSU rRNA". It matches the Rfam family "Bacterial small subunit ribosomal RNA", at positions 524 to 898 of the family's 1533-position model. The record is from RNAcentral.
GACGGAGGAUGCAAGCGUUGUCCGGAAUUAUUGGGCGUAAAGAGUUCGUAGGCGGCAUAUCAAGUCUGGUGUUAAAGCCCGAGGCUUAACCUCGGUCAGGCGCUGGAAACUGAUAAGCUAGAGCAUAGUAGAGGCAAGGGGAAUUCCCAGUGUAGCGGUGAAAUGCGUAGAUAUUGGGAGGAACACCAGUGGCGUAAGCGCCUUGCUGGGCUAGUGCUGACGCUGAGGAACGAAAGCCAGGGUAGCGAAUGGGAUUAGAUACCCCAGUAGUCCUGGCCGUAAACGAUGGAUACUAGGUGUAGCGGGUAUCGACCCCCGCUGUGCCGUAGUUAACGCGUUAAGUAUCCCGCCUGGGGAGUACGCACGCAAGUGUAAA